CUAGUGACAGCUGUGCUAAUGAGAUAACUCUUAUUAAUUCCUUGCUUACAUGGGAAGGAACUCACCCAGUCUAGAUAAAAUUAUAGUCUUAACUCAGCGAACUUUUUAAAUGCGAAAGCCAAAAGGAGGCCCCACUAGAAGUGGAGGCAUGGGAAAUCUCCUUGGAGCUGGGCCCAUGAGGGAAUCCACUGCUCUGAAUAGGAUGACUUCUAAAGGAUUUGCCAGCUUUGAAAUGGAUCACAGGGAGAUGGGAAUGGAAAAGCAGAGAAACAUGACAGAAACGUGCUCAGCAGUACUCGUGGGACUGGAGACUAACAGAGCUGACAGCAACAAAGUGCAAAAUCAGGGAGUCGCCUUUACUGGAAGCCUUUCAAAGGAACAGAAUCUCAGCUCUGUUCUUUCCUAAUUUUCCUUUCAUCUGAAGGCCAGCGCUGUAAAGCUGUGACUGUCUGGAGCAGUAGAGCAGCUGGUGUUACCUGUCAGUACAGCUGCUGCUUGUUGGUACCAAUUCUGCCUCAGUAUUUCGAAUCUAUUUUACAAAACAAGUGGUCUCACCCAUGCAACGCAACCAAAUUAAUUGGAACGAUUGAGACAAACCAAAGCAAAGCCUGAAGUGGAACCCACUGCCAUCAUUUCAAGACCUAUUAUUUCAAGUAACCACGUGGGGAACAUGAUGGUGAUUGCGGCCAGUGUGGAGUGGUUGCCUUCUUCCAACAUGGGCAGAGUGCUGCUGAGCCUGCAGGGCUGAGCCAAAGCUGCUACAGAG
Molecule: long non-coding RNA, 766 nt
Filed under: Gallus gallus (chicken)
Lineage: Eukaryota; Metazoa; Chordata; Aves; Galliformes; Phasianidae
Description: lncRNA (ENSGALG00010005116.1)
Source: RNAcentral